RNAcentral lists this ribosomal RNA (292 nucleotides) under uncultured bacterium. RNAcentral's name for it is "partial 16S ribosomal RNA". It matches the Rfam family "Bacterial small subunit ribosomal RNA", at positions 505 to 796 of the family's 1533-position model. The record is from RNAcentral.
GUGCCAGCAGCCGCGGUAAUACGGAGGGUGCGAGCGUUGUCCGGAAUCACUGGGCGUAAAGGGCGCGUAGGCGGCGCGAGCAGUCGGCGGUGAAAGCCCGGAGCUCAACUCCGGGUCGGCCGUCGAUACUCUCGUGCUUGAGCACUGUAGAGGCAGGUGGAAUUCCGGGUGUAGCGGUGGAAUGCGUAGAGAUCCGGAAGAACACCGGUGGCGAAGGCGGCCUGCUGGGCAGUAGCUGACGCUGAUGCGCGACAGCGUGGGGAGCAAACAGGAUUAGAUACCCCCGUAGUCC